AAAACCAGAACCGCCCAAAACAGCAUGCAGCUGCAAUGUGUUUCCUCUAAACACUCAUUUGGCUACAUGGGCAACUCGAGCCUCUAUUAAAAACAGUUUUGGCCCUUUUUCCUAGCAACAAGCGUCUUGUCAUCUAACUUUAUUCAAUGUUUAUGUAUUUUUUACUUUGGGUAGAAGUAGUAAUAGUGAUAGGGCGUGUUGUAUACAGUGAUCUCGAGGCGUUAACCGCUUUAUGGGCUAAACUCCAUUCACACAAGCAGGAAGAUUUGAAUCUGCGGCGAGUCUGACGCUCCUGAGAAGUGGGCGUGGCGUCGAGCCGGACAGACUCAAACACAGGCUCCACUCCAUGAAUGAGUCAAGUCACCGACGAGCCGAGAGGAAAAGAAUCAAAUUCAAACUAAAAGAAACAGGAAGGUGCGUUUAGUUCAUUUAUUCGUUGUAUAUAACUUAAGCAGUUUUGUGCAAAAAGCUCACUUAAAUCUCAGUUUAGUCAUUCUAACUGAAGUUAUCCGAGGGCUCACUAAUGACUCUACUAGAAUAAUCGUGGAACCUUAUGUGGUGGUCUGCAUUUGUAACCCAUUUACCUCAAUGUUUGGGCAUGCUGUUCUAUUCUGAGAUGCUCAUCUGUUCAGCACAGGUGGUUCAUCAUGAAAAAAGAGAUUCAAACGACUUUAAAAAUUUCCCAUCUCGAUUUAUCGACUUCAGAACAAACAUCAUUCAUCGUAAUAUUUAAUCUGCUUCAUAAACACAAGCAAGAAGCAAACUGAUCCUCGUGACAGAGAGGAAGAAAAAAAACGGAUAAAAUGCUGAUCUGAGCCUCAGGGAGUCGACGGAACUAAUGAAGGCCACUAGAGAAAGACCCGAUCUACUGUACAAGCUACAGUUCUACACACCUAACAAAACUGAGGACAAGGUCAUCUCAGGUAUCCAUGUUUUUGGAUCUGUAUGCUGCAUCUAUACAUUUAAUGAUAUGUAUAUCUCUAUAAGCUGUAUAUCUGAGCAACAGAUAAUCAUGAUGAGUUGAUGUGAAACCCUGAUAGCAAUGAUAACUGAAGUUGAGUAAUGAAAGGAGCAAAUAAAUAUUACCCUGAAAAAAAAACA
Tachysurus fulvidraco (yellow catfish) is the source of this 1101-nucleotide long non-coding RNA. RefSeq lists it as uncharacterized. Lineage: Eukaryota; Metazoa; Chordata; Actinopteri; Siluriformes; Bagridae. The record is from RefSeq and is a predicted model, not a curated record. The transcript has 4 exons.